ACUCCUACGGGAGGCAGCAGUGAGGAAUAUUGGUCAAUGGAGGGAACUCUGAACCAGCCAUCCCGCGUGUAGGAAGACGGCCUUAUGGGUUGUAAACUACUUUUAUACAGGAAGAAACGUACCCUCGUGAGGGUGCCUGACGGUACUGUAGGAAUAAGCACCGGCUAACUCCGUGCCAGCAGCCGCGGUAAUACGGAGGGGUGCGAGCGUUAUCCGGAUUUAUUGGGGUUUAAAGGGGUCCGUAGGCGGAUUAAUAAGUCAGUGGUGAAAUCCCAUCGCUUAACGAUGGAACUGCCAUUGAUACUGUUAGUCUUGAAUGAGGGUGCAGUGGUUGGAAUGUGUAGUGUAGCGGUGAAAUGCAUAGAUAUUACACAGAACACCGAUUGCGAAGGCAGAUCACUAACCCUAAAAUUGACGCUGAGGGACGAAAGCGUGGGGAGCGAACAGGAUUAGAUACCCUGGUAGCGACUGA
RNAcentral lists this ribosomal RNA (472 nucleotides) under uncultured bacterium. Its description in RNAcentral is "bacterial SSU rRNA". It matches the Rfam family "Bacterial small subunit ribosomal RNA", at positions 335 to 798 of the family's 1533-position model. The record is from RNAcentral.